Non-coding RNA from Cinara cedri, 243 nucleotides. The record is from the annotation of a GenBank genome assembly. Lineage: Eukaryota; Metazoa; Arthropoda; Insecta; Hemiptera; Aphididae.
UAAUAUCAGCAUGCAGUCGAACCUGCUCAAAUAUUUCGAGCACUAUAAUAUACACUUGACGGUAUUCACCGUGGAAAUGAACGGAGUAGUUUUUCUUGAAAAAGUUUUCCGACCAUCUCGUUCACAAUAAACUGUCGACGGUUUAGCUGACCGGGAUUCGUAAACCUACCUAUAUAUUUUAUUAUGUUAUACAGGAUAGCGAUGGUAAUUCCAUAAAAUAUGUGAACGACGGAUAAGCAUAAU